GUACUGAAACGUACAUCUGAAGGAGGAUUUAGCAGUAAGCAGGAAAUAGAGCGUCCCGCUGAAAUUGGCCCUGAAGCGCGCACACACCGCCCGUCACUCUCCCCAAAACCACCCAAUCAGUUAAUUAAAACCCAAUAACCAGAAAGGGGAGGCAAGUCGUAACAUGGUAAGUGUACCGGAAGGUGCACUUGGAAAAAUC
RNAcentral lists this ribosomal RNA (199 nucleotides) under Ophiodon elongatus. RNAcentral's name for it is "partial 12S ribosomal RNA". It matches the Rfam family "Microsporidia small subunit ribosomal RNA", at positions 1106 to 1311 of the family's 1311-position model. Lineage: Eukaryota; Metazoa; Chordata; Actinopteri; Perciformes; Hexagrammidae. The record is from RNAcentral.